This is a long non-coding RNA of Olea europaea var. sylvestris, 616 nucleotides long. RefSeq lists it as uncharacterized. Lineage: Eukaryota; Viridiplantae; Streptophyta; Magnoliopsida; Lamiales; Oleaceae. The transcript is spliced from 2 exons. The record is from RefSeq and is a predicted model, not a curated record.
AAAGGCUGGAUCCAUCCUGUGGUUGAGGAGAAACAUAAAGAUAUGGUAGACACACAAACAACACAACAGGCACAUAUUGUGGGAGAGGAGAGUGAGAUCCAAGGAGUAUAGCUCACUGCUAAUGACAUUUUGACUCAGGUCCUUAGAGCUACUUCUUGCUACUAUACAGUUUGGGCAGGGGUCCAAAGAUUCAACGUGCUACAUCUUGUGUAGACAUGACUCAAUGAGAGAAUGCCAAGGUUCGCCAAGUCACGCAUAAUUUACAUAGCCAAAAUGAGCGUACUCUCGUUUUGUUAAAAGAGAUUAUGCCAGUUGCCAUCACUAGAAUAGGCAGCCCUAGAGUUCCUACUAAUCCUCAUUCGUCUUCGUCACCAUCAUAACCUGAUCACGAGUCACAUGAUGAUCAUUAGUUUAAAGCUUUUCUAUUCCAUUUACAUGGUUUUAUAUUUGGAUGGUUAAUACUCCAUUAUAACAUAUGCUAUUAUUUUUGGAUUAAGCUAGCUUUCUCUUAUAUAUGAAUUUGACUAGGCUCUUUAUUUUGAAAUCCAUUAUAGUUUGGGCAUGUAAUGUAGUUACUUAUUCUGAAAUUGGAAUUGACUGGUGAAGAUAUGAUAUA